CUCAGUUCGGAUCGGAGUCUGCAACCCGACUCCGUGAAGCUGGAUUCGCUAGUAAUCGCGCAUCAGCCAUGGCGCGGUGAAUACGUUCCCGGGCCUUGUACACACCGCCCGUCAAGCCAUGGAAGCCGGGAGUGCCUGAAGUGCGUGAGCGCAAGCAGCGCCCUAAGGUAAAACCGGUGACUGGGGCUAAGUCGUAACAAGGUACC
RNAcentral lists this ribosomal RNA (206 nucleotides) under uncultured bacterium. RNAcentral describes it as "partial 16S ribosomal RNA". It matches the Rfam family "Bacterial small subunit ribosomal RNA", at positions 1287 to 1500 of the family's 1533-position model. The record is from RNAcentral.